RNAcentral lists this unclassified non-coding RNA (332 nucleotides) under soil metagenome. Its description in RNAcentral is "partial contains 5.8S ribosomal RNA, internal transcribed spacer 2, and large subunit ribosomal RNA". The stretch from base 1 to 120 matches the Rfam family "5.8S ribosomal RNA", at positions 35 to 154 of the family's 154-position model. The record is from RNAcentral.
GAUGAAGAACGCAGUGAAAUGCGAUAAGUAGUGUGAAUUGCAGAAUUCAGUGAAUCAUCGAAUCUUUGAACGCACAUUGCGCCCUUUGGUAUUCCUUAGGGCAUACCUGUUCGAGCGUCAUUUAAACCUUCAAGCUCAGCUUGGUGUUGGGUGACUGUCCGCUUCACCGCGGACUCGCCUCAAAAUUAUUGGCGGCCGGUACAUUGGCUUCGAGCGCAGCAGAAACGCGAACUCGGGCCCGUCGUAUUGGCUCCCAGAAGCUAUCUUCACAAUUUUGACCUCGGAUCAGGUAGGGAUACCCGCUGAACUUAAGCAUAUCAAUAAGCGGAGGA